Molecule: ribosomal RNA, 274 nt
Filed under: uncultured bacterium
Lineage: Bacteria
Description: partial 16S ribosomal RNA
Rfam family: Bacterial small subunit ribosomal RNA
Source: RNAcentral
AUACGGAGGGGACUAGCGUUGUUCGGAAUUACUGGGCGUAAAGAGUUCGUAGGCGGACUGAUAAGUAAGAGGUGAAAUCCCAGGGCUCAACCCUGGAACUGCCUUUUAAACUGUCAGUCUAGAGACCGGAAGAGGUUAGGGGAAUACCUAGUGUAGAGGUGAAAUUCGUAGAUAUUAGGUGGAACACCAGUGGCGAAGGCGGCCCACUGGCUCGAUACUGACGCUGAGGUACGAAAGCGUGGGGAGCAAACAGGAUUAGAAACCCCAGUAGUCC